Molecule: ribosomal RNA, 275 nt
Filed under: uncultured bacterium
Lineage: Bacteria
Description: partial 16S ribosomal RNA
Rfam family: Bacterial small subunit ribosomal RNA
Source: RNAcentral
GCGUGAGUGACGAAGGCCUUAGGGUUGUAAAGCUCUUUUGGCGGGGACGAUAAUGACGGUACCCGCAGAAUAAGCCCCGGCUAACUUCGUGCCAGCAGCCGCGGUAAUACGAAGGGGGCUAGCGUUGUUCGGAAUUACUGGGCGUAAAGCGCACGUAGGCGGACAUUUAAGUCAGGGGUGAAAUCCCGGGGCUCAACCUCGGAACUGCCUUUGAUACUGGGUGUCUCGAGUCCGAUAGAGGUGAGUGGAAUUCCUAGUGUAGAGGUGAAAUUCGU